AUAGGGCUGUGCGUGUGCCUGUGCGGCUGGGGAAGUCACCUGGAUUGUGAGGGAGCCCCAGGUUCCCCAGAUACCUGGGGUUAAGUAAAAGUCACUGGCUCUUGAGGGGAGCCCUCUGGAGAGGCCCACAAGGCAAGAAACAGACCUCUUGCCAACAGCCAAGAGAGGGAUCUGGGAAGUGGAUCUUCUAGUCCCAGUCAAGCCUUCAGAUGACUGCAACCCUGCGUGACAUCUUGACUGCAACCUCAUGAGAGACCCUGAGCAAAAGCCACCCAGCUAAGUGACUCCCAAACCCCUGACCCUCAGAAGGUUCACUCUCUGUCUCUUGGAUUACUUGCCUUGGGGGAAGCCAGCUGCCAUGUUGUGAGAAUGCUUAGGCAGCCUCUAUGCAGGCCCGCAUGGUGAGGAACUGAGGCCUCCAGCCAAAGCCAGUGCGGGACUGAGGCCUGCCAACAACCAUGUGUGUGAGUUUGGAAUUGAAUCCUCUAGCCCCAGAUGACUAUGGCCCUGCCUGAGAGCUUGACUUCAACCUCAUGAGAGACUCAGAAAAAACCAUCCAGCUAAGCUGCUCCCAGAUUCCUGAUUCUCAGAAAUUGUGUGACAUAAUAAAUG
Molecule: long non-coding RNA, 612 nt
Organism: Balaenoptera musculus (blue whale)
Lineage: Eukaryota; Metazoa; Chordata; Mammalia; Artiodactyla; Balaenopteridae
Exons: 3
Source: RefSeq, a predicted model, not a curated record